Molecule: long non-coding RNA, 326 nt
Filed under: Homo sapiens (human)
Lineage: Eukaryota; Metazoa; Chordata; Mammalia; Primates; Hominidae
Description: non-protein coding lnc-MTPN-1:1
Source: RNAcentral
AAUUGCAGUGUUUUGCAUGCAAAAUAUAAAAAAUUUAAAUUGUCCUGAUUCUAUUUUGUAAAUGGAGAAACAAUCAUAUCUUUCUAAGCGGUAAUGGAGGAAGACUAGUGCUUUGUGCAUUUUGAUAUAUUUGAGUUCAUUUUUUCCACAAUGUCAUACUUUUGACGCAGUUGGGUUUCUCAUAAGUAUCCUAGUUCAUGUACAUCCGAAUGCUAAAUAAUACUGUGUUUUAAGUUUUGUGUUGCAAGAACAAAUGGAAUAAACUUGAAUUGUGCUACAGCUAAUGUGUCAGCAGCAUUUUUCUCAGUUAUUAUCACCUUCCUUUU